RNAcentral lists this long non-coding RNA (501 nucleotides) under Fukomys damarensis (Damara mole-rat). RNAcentral describes it as "lncRNA (ENSFDAG00000025963.1)". Lineage: Eukaryota; Metazoa; Chordata; Mammalia; Rodentia; Bathyergidae. The record is from RNAcentral.
UAGCCUGGUGGGUCCACGAUGUAAACCAGAGUGGUGUGAUCGGUUCUGCUAUGUUUGCGUCUGCUGUGGAUGUGAUGUGACCCACAGAUUCGGGGCGUGCCAAGGCGCAGUGGUUCCAAGAGCAAAGAAAUCACUCCUUUGCCUGCCUGGGAAGAAUCUGGGAAACCCAAGGUCGCAACAUCUUGCCUAGCGGCUCUUCCCAGAGGCCAGAAUACUGAUGGUGAAAGUCAGAGGGAAUCAGGUUUCAGCUCCCUGAAUGAUCGAAGAUCACUCGGCCACGAGGAUCUUGAAAGUUGGCCCUGUCCACAGCUUGUAAUGAGAAGGAUAAUCUGUCUCGUAAUAAAAAACAGUACCCACACAAACAAAUCCAGCACCCAGCUGCCUUCCCCUUCGCACCACUUUCCUAAUAAGGGACAAUGACAAAUAUUGCCGUCCCGUUCCACCCCAAAACAGAGGAAGCGGUAGAUCUUUCUUUUAAUAACUUCCCAAAGUGUUACAAAU